Molecule: ribosomal RNA, 506 nt
Filed under: uncultured bacterium
Lineage: Bacteria
Description: partial 16S ribosomal RNA
Rfam family: Bacterial small subunit ribosomal RNA
Source: RNAcentral
AUUGAACGCUGGCGGCAGGCCUAACACAUGCAAGUCGGACGGUAGCACAGAGGAGCUUGCUCCUCGGGUGACGAGUGGCGGACGGGUGAGUAAUGUCUGGGGAUCUGCCCGAUAGAGGGGGAUAACCACUGGAAACGGUGGCUAAUACCGCAUAACGUCGCAAGACCAAAGAGGGGGACCUUCGGGCCUCUCACUAUCGGAUGAACCCAGAUGGGAUUAGCUAGUAGGCGGGGUAAUGGCACACCUAGGCGACGAUCCCUAGCUGGUCUGAGAGGAUGACCAGCCACACUGGAACUGAGACACGGUCCAGACUACUACGGGAGGCAGCAGUGGUGAAUAUUGCACAAUGGGCGCAAGCCUGAUGCAGCCAGGCCGCGUGUAUGAAGAAGGCCUUCGGGUUGUAAAGUACUUUCAGCGGGGAGGAAGGCGGUGAGGUUAAUAACCUCACCGAUUGACGUUACCCGCAGAAGAAGCACCGGCUAACUCCGUGCCAGCAGCCGCCGUAA